Molecule: long non-coding RNA, 357 nt
Filed under: Mytilus galloprovincialis (Mediterranean mussel)
Lineage: Eukaryota; Metazoa; Mollusca; Bivalvia; Mytilida; Mytilidae
Source: RNAcentral
GACAACUUCCUGUUUACCGAACACUUGUCUGAUUUUACACAUGAUAGCCAAGUUGAAAAUUUUCGUCACAUUUUUCUCAGGAACUACAAUACAAGGAUUUCUUAAAUUAGGUUUCAGGAUUUAUAUAAGUCAGCUAUACCGUGUGAUGCGUUUUCAGAUUCAUCACUCGACAACUUCCUGUUUACCGAACACUUGUAUGAUUUUACACAUGAUAGCCAAGUUGAAAGUUUUCGUCACAUUUUUCUCAGGAACUACAAUACAAGGAUUUCUGAAAUUUGAUUUCAGGAUUUAUAUAAGUCAGCUAUACCGUGUGAUGCGUUUUCAGAUUCAUCACUCGACAACUUCCUGUUUACCGAA